UUUUAGGUGGAUGACGUUCCUUUCUUGGCUACACAAGUACUUCCUGUUCUUUUUCUUCUGCAUCUAGAUCUAUCACCUCUCCAAGGUAAUAAUUAAUUUUCUUUGAAUAAAUAGGAAUUUGAGAAUGACUUUCUUCUAUAGGAACCAUAGUCACAUGUCUAAAUAUUUCUCGCAUCUGCCCAUUGUGACUAUCUUUUCUUUUCUCAACUUCUUCAAAUCCCUCUUCUUCCUCUUUUUCACCAAGCUUGUAUGUCUCACUUACCUCAUCUUCAUCACUACUAAUCUCAAUCACUUCUUCCUCUGCUUUUCUUUUCUCCCUUACUACAACAACACGACAUUCC
Molecule: long non-coding RNA, 341 nt
Filed under: Vigna radiata
Lineage: Eukaryota; Viridiplantae; Streptophyta; Magnoliopsida; Fabales; Fabaceae
Description: long non-coding RNA (VRAD_LNC013198)
Source: RNAcentral